Molecule: ribosomal RNA, 491 nt
Filed under: uncultured bacterium
Lineage: Bacteria
Description: partial 16S ribosomal RNA
Rfam family: Bacterial small subunit ribosomal RNA
Source: RNAcentral
GAUGAACGCUGGCUACAGGCUUAACACAUGCAAGUCGAGGGGAAACGCCGGGGAAGCUUGCUUCCCCGGGCGUCGACCGGCGCACGGGUGAGUAACGCGUAUCCAACCUGCCUCUGACUGAGGGGUAACCCGUCGAAAGUCGGCCUAAUACCUCAUGGCAUCGUCUGCGGGCAUCCAACGACGAUUAAAGAUUUCAUCGGUCAGAGAUGGGGAUGCGUCUGAUUAGCUUGUUGGCGGGGUAACGGCCCACCAAGGCGACGAUCAGUAGGGGUUCUGAGAGGAAGGUCCCCCACAUUGGAACUGAGACACGGUCCAAACUCCUACGGGAGGCAGCAGUGAGGAAUAUUGGUCAAUGGGCGAGAGCCUGAACCAGCCAAGUAGCGUGCAGGAUGACGGCCCUAUGGGUUGUAAACUGCUUUUAUGCGGGGAUAAAGUGAGGGACGUGUCCUUCAUUGCAGGUACCGCAUGAAUAAGGACCGGCUAAGUCCGUG